GUGGCGGUGGCGCACAACGGCGGCGGCGCGCUGCUGCUGCUGGUCCUGGUGCUGGUGAACUACCGGGUACGCGCCGUUUCAACCAGCGCCGCCAGAC
This 97-nucleotide transfer RNA is filed under the name compost metagenome. Its description in RNAcentral is "tRNA-Ser". The record is from RNAcentral.